AAGGACUUAAGUUAAAUAAACUAAUAGCCUUCAAAGUUAUAAAUAAAAGUAACUACUUUUAGGCCUUA
This 68-nucleotide transfer RNA is filed under the name Pseudothericles compressifrons. Its description in RNAcentral is "tRNA-Trp". Lineage: Eukaryota; Metazoa; Arthropoda; Insecta; Orthoptera; Thericleidae. The record is from RNAcentral.